AGUGAACGCUGGCGGUAGGCCUAACACAUGCAAGUCGAACGGCAGCACAGUAAGAGCUUGCUCUUACGGGUGGCGAGUGGCGGACGGGUGAGGAAUACAUCGGAAUCUACUUUUUCGUGGGGGAUAACGUAGGGAAACUUACGCUAAUACCGCAUACGACCUACGGGUGAAAGCAGGGGAUCUUCGGACCUUGCGCGAUUGAAUGAGCCGAUGUCGGAUUAGCUAGUUGGCGGGGUAAAGGUCCACCAAGGCGACGAUCCGUAGCUGGUCUGAGAGGAUGAUCAGCCACACUGGAACUGAGACACGGUCCAGACUCCUACGGGAGGCAGCAGUGGGGAAUAUUGGACAAUGGGCGCAAGCCUGAUCCAGCCAUACCGCGUAGGUGAAGAAGGCCUUCGGGUUGUAAAGCCCUUUUGUUGGGAAAGAAAAGCAGCAGGUUAAUACCCCGCUGUUCUGACGGUACCCAAAGAAUAAGCACCGGCUAACUUCGUG
This 492-nucleotide ribosomal RNA is filed under the name uncultured bacterium. RNAcentral's name for it is "partial 16S ribosomal RNA". It matches the Rfam family "Bacterial small subunit ribosomal RNA", at positions 29 to 507 of the family's 1533-position model. The record is from RNAcentral.